This 254-nucleotide ribosomal RNA is filed under the name uncultured bacterium. RNAcentral's name for it is "partial 16S ribosomal RNA". It matches the Rfam family "Bacterial small subunit ribosomal RNA", at positions 524 to 776 of the family's 1533-position model. The record is from RNAcentral.
UACGUAGGGGGCAAGCGUUGUCCGGAUUUAUUGGGCGUAAAGCGCGUGUAGGUGGCCAUGUAGGUCCGCUGUGAAAACUCGAGGCUCAACCUCGAGCUGUCGGUGGAAACCACAUGGCUAGAGUCCGGAAGAGGAGAGUGGAAUUCCUGGUGUAGCGGUGAAAUGCGUAGAUAUCGUAAGGAAGACCAGUGGCGAAGGCGGGUCUCUGGACAGUUCCUGACGCUGAGGCACGAAGGUCAGGGGGAGCAAACGGG